Molecule: non-coding RNA, 1737 nt
Organism: Physcomitrium patens
Lineage: Eukaryota; Viridiplantae; Streptophyta; Bryopsida; Funariales; Funariaceae
Source: RefSeq, a predicted model, not a curated record
UUGUUAGCAUUGCCGUAUACCUGUCUGUACAAGCACCGAUCCGUAGCCAUGCAACCCACCAGCACUGUGGCCCAACCCCUGCUGCUGCACCGCGUCCUUCUGCCACCAGUGACCUUCAAACGUCGUUUUAACAACAUCAACGCAGCGCCUGCCAUUGCUCGUCGUUCCAUUUUCCUUUGCACGCCGCUGAGCUCCAUCCUUUGGUGCAUUCAGGAAGGCUUAGAAAUUUUCGGAAGGCGGGGGUGUUGUUAAAGCUUAGGAUUCAGUGAAGUCUUCGAGAAGCUGGCGCAAAUCGAAGGGUCGCACGGGUCGCAAGGCCCCAUCAUCGCUGGAGAUGACGAUAAUGGUGAUGCGCAGAAGAUGGUAGUGUCGGGAGAUGAUGCGCAGAAUUGUAAGAUCGUGCAAGCCGAAAUGCAGCGCUUGAAGCGUUUCCCUUCAGGAAGCUCCUACGCCACGAAUCGCUUCAGAAUGCUUGAUAAAGCACUGCAGCUUCUUGGGAAGGUGCGCACGACGGCUGAGGGUGAGGAAUUGGAGGUUCUUUUCGCUAACUUGAAUUUCUGACCUCUCCACGGUAGGGUGGGCAAGAGGAGUUCGGCGAUCCCAAUCGACUACGUACCACCUGCCCUUUGUAAAUUUCAGUAUUGCACUAGAGGUACUGUAAUUUGAAGACAUAAGUGUGUAAUCAUCUAUAUAUAUCUAUAGAUAUAGAUAUAUUCAUAUGUGCACACACACACACAUAAGGAUAGAGAGGGAGAGAGAGUGAGAAUGCUUGCUAUAACUAUUCAGAAACUAAUGCUCUACCUACACACACUCGAAUGGUUUUGAAAUGCCUCACCGUAGCUACAAUAUUAACAGUGGUACAUACAACCUUCCAAGUUUCUGAUUCACAUGCAGAGUGAGCAAGGUCAGUUCAAUACAACGGGUGAGGAGUUUUGAGAGGGGUGGGUGUCAGGGUAGGAUGCAUGUUUGUGGGAGUGAAAGGGGGUAUUGGGGCAAAGAGGAGCACAAUGGCGGCGUCGUCUGUGCUGGAAAUGUAGUGAGGGAGCCCAAAAGCGUGGAGAUGAAGGAUGCACUGGUACGGAAGAUUUUCAAAACGACAGGGGGAUCCAGGCUUGUCCCGGGAGGCGCUAGAAGGAGGGGUCGAACCUCCGACCUUGUGGUUAACAGCCACACGCUCUAACCAACUGAGCUAUUCCAGCUGGUGGGGAGCUGCUUGCCUGCAUCAGUUGGGGGAGGAACCCGCGUCUGCAACGUGAUCGAUCGAAUUUUUACUUCAUGAUCAGCGGUGCAUCGAGGCAGUUUUUACCGAUGACUGACGUGCCAGCGCCCGAGAAACUCGCAUGCUCGCAUGGCUCCACUGCGGCCUGCUCCGUGUUAAGUACUCUCCGAACUACCCACCUCCAUCACCCGUUCCACAGCAGCAUCUCCUCCCCAUUGCAGACCCUUCACACACACACACACACACAUAUAUAUAUAUAUAUAUAUAUGCUCUGAACCCUCCCUUUCAGAAAGGAAAAUGGAUGUGAAAAAUUAGAGUUUGACAGCCUCUAUGUAAUGUGCAUGUAUGGAUGGAUGCUAUUGUAAUAGCUUGUUUGAUUAUUUCUUCUGCUUCAAUUGAAUAUUUGCGCAUAAGUGAGUGACCCGUUGUAUCCAACUGAUAGAUGGGGUCCCUCCGAAAGAGCUGCCCAUGAUUAGAAACAUAAAGAAGAAAAAGAAGAAGAUGAUUAUUUGUAUUAA